Molecule: ribosomal RNA, 413 nt
Filed under: uncultured bacterium
Lineage: Bacteria
Description: bacterial SSU rRNA
Rfam family: Bacterial small subunit ribosomal RNA
Source: RNAcentral
UGAGUAACGCGUAUGCAACCUACCUAUCAGAGGGGAAUAACCCGGCGAAAGUCGGACAAUACGCAUAAAACAGGGACACCGCAUGGUGAUAUUUGUUAAAGAAAUUCGCUGAUAGAUGGGCAUGCGUUCCAUUAGGUAGUUGGUGAGGUAACGGCUCACCAAGCCGACGAUGGAUAGGGGAACUGAGAGGUUGGUCCCCCACACUGGUACUGAGACACGGACCAGACUCCUACGGGAGGCAGCAGUGAGGAAUAUUGGUCAAUGGGCGAGAGCCUGAACCAGCCAAGUCGCGUGAAAAGGAAGAAGGAUCUAUGGUUCGUAAACUUCUUUUGCAGGGGAAUAAAGUGCAGGACGUGUCCUGUUUUGUAUGUACCCUGAGAAUAAGGAUCGGCUAACUCCGUGCCAGCCGCAGC